UAGGGAAUAUUGCACAAUGGGCGAAAGCCUGAUGCAGCAACGCCGCGUGCGCGAAGAAGGCCUUCGGGUCGUAAAGCGCUUUUCUGAGAGAUGAGAAAGGACAGUAUCUCAGGAAUAAGUCUCGGCUAACUACGUGCCAGCAGCCGCGGUAAAACGUAGGAGGCGAGCGUUAUCCGGAUUCACUGGGCGUAAAGCGCGUGCAGGCGGUUCGGUAAGUUGGGCGUGAAAUCUCUCGGCUUAACUGGGAGAGGUCGUUCAAUACUACCGGGCUAGAGAGUGGUAGAGGAAGAUGGAAUUCCCGGUGUAGUGGUGAAAUGCGUAGAUAUCGGGAGGAACACCAGUGGCGAAAGCGAUCUUCUGGACCAUUUCUGACGCUCAGACGCGAAAGCUAGGGUAGUAAACGGGAUUAGAGACCCCGGUAAUCCUAGCCAUAAACGAUGUAAACUUGGCGUUGGUGGCUUAAACUCCAUCAGUGCCGCAGCAAACGCGAUAAGUUUACCGCCUGGGGACUACGAUCGCAAGAUUAA
This 527-nucleotide ribosomal RNA is filed under the name uncultured bacterium. RNAcentral describes it as "bacterial SSU rRNA". It matches the Rfam family "Bacterial small subunit ribosomal RNA", at positions 355 to 897 of the family's 1533-position model. The record is from RNAcentral.